Molecule: ribosomal RNA, 790 nt
Filed under: uncultured bacterium
Lineage: Bacteria
Description: bacterial SSU rRNA
Rfam family: Bacterial small subunit ribosomal RNA
Source: RNAcentral
AGAGUUUGAUCAUGGCUCAGGACGAACGCUGGCGGCGUGCUUAACACAUGCAAGUCGAGGAGAAUUAGAAUCUUCGGAAUCUAUAGUAAACUGGCGCACGGGUGCGUAACACGUAGGCAACCUACCCCCGAGUGGGGAAUAACAUCGCGAAAGUGGUGCUAAUACCGCAUGACAUUCAAUUGUCGCAUGGCAAUUGAAUUAAAGAUUUUUCGCUCGAGGAUGGGCCUGCGUCCUAUUAGCUUGUUGGUAGGGUAACGGCCUACCAAGGCUACGAUGGGUAGCUGGUCUGAGAGGAUGAUCAGCCACACUGGCACUGAGACACGGGCCAGACUCCUACGGGAGGCAGCAGUGAGGAAUAUUGGGCAAUGGGCGCAAGCCUGACCCAGCAACGCCGCGUGGGUGAUGAAGCACUGAGGUGCGUAAAGCCCUGUUAGGAGGGAAGAACGAUCCCACUUGUGGGAUGUGACGGUACCUCCAGAGAAAGCUCCGGCUAACUCCGUGCCAGCAGCCGCGGUAAUACGGGGGGAGCAAGCGUUGUCCGGAUUUACUGGGCGUAAAGAGAGUGUAGGCGGGACGAUUAGUCGAUGGUGAAAUCUUUCAGCUUAACUGGAAAAUUGCCACCGAUACUGUCGUUCUUGAGUUCGGAAGGGGGAAGCAGAAUUCCUGGUGUAGCGGUGAAAUGCGUAGAUAUCAGGAAGAAUACCGGUAGCGAAGGCGGCUUCCUGGUCCGACACUGACGCUGAGACUCGAAGGCGUGGGUAGCAAACAGGAUUAGAUACCCUAGUAGUCC